AAAUUGAAGAGUUUGAUCAUGGCUCAGAUUGAACGCUGGCGGCAGGCCUAACACAUGCAAGUCGAACGGUAACAGGAAACAGCUUGCUGUUUCGCUGACGAGUGGCGGACGGGUGAGUAAUGUCUGGGAAACUGCCUGAUGGAGGGGGAUAACUACUGGAAACGGUAGCUAAUACCGCAUAACGUCGCAAGACCAAAGAGGGGGACCUUCGGGCCUCUUGCCAUCGGAUGUGCCCAGAUGGGAUUAGCUUGUUGGUGGGGUAACGGCUCACCAAGGCGACGAUCCCUAGCUGGUCUGAGAGGAUGACCAGCCACACUGGAACUGAGACACGGUCCAGACUCCUACGGGAGGCAGCAGUGGGGAAUAUUGCACAAUGGGCGCAAGCCUGAUGCAGCCAUGCCGCGUGUAUGAAGAAGGCCUUCGGGUUGUAAAGUACUUUCAGCGGGGAGGAAGGGAGUAAAGUUAAUACCNGAUGGAGGGGGAUAACUACUGGAAACGGUAGCUAAUACCGCAUAACGUCGCAAGACCAAAGAGGGGGACCUUCGGGCCUCUUGCCAUCGGAUGUGCCCAGAUGGGAUUAGCUAGUAGGUGGGGUAAAGGCUCACCUAGGCGACGAUCCCUAGCUGGUCUGAGAGGAUGACCAGCCACACUGGAACUGAGACACGGUCCAGACUCCUACGGGAGGCAGCAGUGGGGAAUAUUGCACAAUGGGCGCAAGCCUGAUGCAGCCAUGCCGCGUGUAUGAAGAAGGCCUUCGGGUUGUAAAGUACUUUCAGCGGGGAGGAAGGGAGUAAAGUUAAUACCUUUGCUCAUUGACGUUACCCGCAGAAGAAGCACCGGCUAACUCCGUGCCAGCAGCCGCGGUAAUACGGAGGGUGCAAGCGUUAAUCGGAAUUACUGGGCGUAAAGCGCACGCAGGCGGUUUGUUAAGUCAGAUGUGAAAUCCCCGGGCUCAACCUGGGAACUGCAUCUGAUACUGGCAAGCUUGAGUCUCGUAGAGGGGGGUAGAAUUCCAGGUGUAGCGGUGAAAUGCGUAGAGAUCUGGAGGAAUACCGGUGGCGAAGGCGGCCCCCUGGACGAAGACUGACGCUCAGGUGCGAAAGCGUGGGGAGCAAACAGGAUUAGAUACCCUGGUAGUCCACGCCGUAAACGAUGUCGACUUGGAGGUUGUGCCCUUGAGGCGUGGCUUCCGGAGCUAACGCGUUAAGUCGACCGCCUGGGGAGUACGGCCGCAAGGUUAAAACUCAAAUGAAUUGACGGGGGCCCGCACAAGCGGUGGAGCAUGUGGUUUAAUUCGAUGCAACGCGAAGAACCUUACCUGGUCUUGACAUCCACGGAAGUUUUCAGAGAUGAGAAUGUGCCUUCGGGAACCGUGAGACAGGUGCUGCAUGGCUGUCGUCAGCUCGUGUUGUGAAAUGUUGGGUUAAGUCCCGCAACGAGCGCAACCCUUAUCCUUUGUUGCCAGCGGUCCGGCCGGGAACUCAAAGGAGACUGCCAGUGACGCGAGAGCAAGCGGACCUCAUAAAGUGCGUCGUAGUCCGGAUUGGAGUCUGCAACUCGACUCCAUGAAGUCGGAAUCGCUAGUAAUCGUGGAUCAGAAUGCCACGGUGAAUACGUUCCCGGGCCUUGUACACACCGCCCGUCACACCAUGGGAGUGGGUUGCAAAAGAAGUAGGUAGCUUAACCUUCGGGAGGGCGCUUACCACUUUGUGAUUCAUGACUGGGGUGAAGUCGUAACAAGGUAACCGUAGGGGAACCUGCGGUUGGAUCACCUCCUUA
RNAcentral lists this ribosomal RNA (1779 nucleotides) under Escherichia coli. RNAcentral describes it as "16S ribosomal RNA". It matches the Rfam family "Bacterial small subunit ribosomal RNA". Lineage: Bacteria; Pseudomonadati; Pseudomonadota; Gammaproteobacteria; Enterobacterales; Enterobacteriaceae. The record is from RNAcentral.